This 235-nucleotide long non-coding RNA is filed under the name Lathyrus oleraceus (garden pea). RNAcentral's name for it is "Pisum sativum (pea) long non-coding RNA (PSAT_LNC025887)". The record is from RNAcentral. Lineage: Eukaryota; Viridiplantae; Streptophyta; Magnoliopsida; Fabales; Fabaceae.
UGGUUGCUUGAACAUUGCUCAUUAAAUUGUGUAACAGUUGGAUGGUUUCACUGUUUGUUUUCUGAUUGGUUGUCUGAGAUAUUAACUGUUUAGAUUUUGUACAGGUACAUUAGUUGCUUGCUUUUAGCUCUUGCUUGAGCUUUGGAUUGUGGUUGAUACACCACUUAGGUAGCUAUCUUCUUACUCCAUGUAGUCUGGAAGUCCUGUCACCUUUUUGGCAGGCAUUUUGCUGGCA